RNAcentral lists this ribosomal RNA (508 nucleotides) under uncultured Glomeromycotina. Its description in RNAcentral is "SSU rRNA". It matches the Rfam family "Eukaryotic small subunit ribosomal RNA", at positions 569 to 1078 of the family's 1831-position model. Lineage: Eukaryota; Fungi; Glomeromycota. The record is from RNAcentral.
AGCAGCCGCGGUAAUUCCAGCUCCAAUAGCGUAUAUUAAAGUUGUUGCAGUUAAAAAGCUCGUAGUUGAAUUUCGGGAUCAGCAGGUUGGUCGUGCCUCUGGUAUGCACUGGUUUCGCUGAUUCCUCCUUUCUGAAGAACUGUAAUGUCAUUAAUUUGGUGUUGCAGGGAAACAGGACUGUUACUUUGAAAAAAUUAGAGUGUUUAAAGCAGGCUAACGCUUGAAUACAUUAGCAUGGAAUAAUGAAAUAGGACGUUUGAUCCUAUUUUGUUGGUUUCUAGGAUUGACGUAAUGAUUAAUAGGGAUAGUUGGGGGCAUUAGUAUUCAAUUGUCAGAGGUGAAAUUCUUGGAUUUAUUGAAGACUAACUACUGCGAAAGCAUUUGCCAAGGAUGUUUUCAUUAAUCAAGAACGAAAGUUAGGGGAUCGAAGACGAUCAGAUACCGUCGUAGUCUUAACCAUAAACUAUGCCGACUAGGGAUCGGAUGAUGUUAAUUUUUUAAUGACUCA